CCCUAUCCGAUAUGAGGGUAAAUCGGGUCGUAUCCAUACCCUGUUCGGUAUGAGCGCCAAAAAUAUAAUCCCUUAAUAUCCCGUCCGGUAUGAGGUAACAUUCACGGUAAGGUUUUCUAUGUAUCCGGUCCAUCUACCAUAUUUUAAGAUAUCUAGUAAGAUAACCAUUUAUUAAUUAACAUAAUCAAGCAAUUUUUUAUUUGUAU
Molecule: long non-coding RNA, 206 nt
Filed under: Carica papaya (papaya)
Lineage: Eukaryota; Viridiplantae; Streptophyta; Magnoliopsida; Brassicales; Caricaceae
Description: long non-coding RNA (CPAP_LNC012375)
Source: RNAcentral